AUGAACGCUAGCUACAGGCUAACACAUGCAAGUCAGGGGCAGCAUUGGGAUAGCUUGCUAUCCAGAUGGCGACCGGCGCACGGGUGAGUAACGCGUAUCCAACCUUCCCUAUAGUAGAGAAUAGCCCGGCGAAAGUCGGAUUAAUGCUCUAUGUUGUGUUUUGAGGACAUCUGACGAACACCAAAGGUUCACCGCUAUAGGAUGGGGAUGCGUCUGAUUAGCUUGCUGGCGGGGUAACGGCCCACCAAGGCGACGAUCAGUAGGGGUUCUGAGAGGAAGGUCCCCCACAUUGGUACUGAGACACGGACCAAACUCCUACGGGAGGCAGCAGUGAGGAAUAUUGGUCAAUGGGCGAGAGCCUGAACCAGCCAAGUAGCGUGCAGGAUGACUGCCCUAUGGGUUGUAAACUGCUUUUAUCAGGGAAUAAAGUGCGGCACGUGUGCCGUUUUGUAUGUACCUGAUGAAUAAGGACCGGCUAAUUCCGUGCCAGCAGCAGC
RNAcentral lists this ribosomal RNA (497 nucleotides) under uncultured bacterium. RNAcentral describes it as "bacterial SSU rRNA". It matches the Rfam family "Bacterial small subunit ribosomal RNA", at positions 29 to 518 of the family's 1533-position model. The record is from RNAcentral.